AGAGGUGGCGAGCGUUGUUCGGAUUUACUGGGGCGUAAAGGGGUGCGUAGGCGGCCAUGUGUGUCGGAUGUGAAAUCUCACUGCUCAACGGGUGAAACUGCAUCCGAAACUGCGUGGCUAGAGUACAGGAGAGGAGAGAGGAAUUCUCGGUGUAGCGGUGAAAUGCGUUGAUAUCGAGAAGAACACCGGUGGCGAAGGCGUCUCUCUGGACUGAUACUGACGCUGAGGCACGAAAGCUGGGGGAGCGAACAGGAUUAGAUACCCUGGUAGUCCCAGCCGUAAACGUUGUGCACUUGGUGUAGGGACCGUUGUCGUCUCUGUGCCGGAGCUAACGCGUUAAGUGCACCGCCUGGGGAGUACGGCCGCAAGGCUA
This 373-nucleotide ribosomal RNA is filed under the name uncultured organism. RNAcentral describes it as "partial 16S ribosomal RNA". It matches the Rfam family "Bacterial small subunit ribosomal RNA", at positions 527 to 896 of the family's 1533-position model. The record is from RNAcentral.